UACAGAGGCCUCGAGCGUUGUUCGGAAUUACUGGGCGUAAAGGGAAUGUAGGUGGUCUUGUAAGUCAGAUGUGAAAGCCCUGGGCUUAACCUGGGAACUGCAUUUGAUACGGCAAGGCUUGAGUGCAGGAGAGAAGAGCGGAAUUUCUAGUGUAGGAGUGAAAUCCGUAGAUAUUAGAAGGAAUACCGAUGGCGAAGGCAGCUCUUUGGCCUGUAACUGACACUGAGAUUCGAAAGCAUGGGUAGCAAACAGG
RNAcentral lists this ribosomal RNA (253 nucleotides) under uncultured bacterium. RNAcentral's name for it is "partial 16S ribosomal RNA". It matches the Rfam family "Bacterial small subunit ribosomal RNA", at positions 524 to 776 of the family's 1533-position model. The record is from RNAcentral.